This 672-nucleotide ribosomal RNA is filed under the name uncultured fungus. RNAcentral describes it as "eukaryotic LSU rRNA". It matches the Rfam family "Eukaryotic large subunit ribosomal RNA", at positions 24 to 664 of the family's 3401-position model. Lineage: Eukaryota; Fungi. The record is from RNAcentral.
CCCGCUGAACUUAAGCAUAUCAAUAAGCGGAGGAAAAGAAACCAACAGGGAUUGCCUUAGUAACGGCGAGUGAAGCGGCAAAAGCUCAAAUUUGAAAUCUGGCAGUAAUGUCCGAGUUGUAAUUUGAAGAAGGUAACUUUGGUGAUAGCUCUUGCAUAUGUUCCUUGGAACAGGACGUCAUAGAGGGUGAGAAUCCCGUAUAUGGUGAGAUGACAUAUUACUAUGUAAAGUGCCUUCGAAGAGUCGAGUUGUUUGGGAAUGCAGCUCUAAGUGGGUGGUAAAUUCCAUCUAAAGCUAAAUAUUGGCGAGAGACCGAUAGCGAACAAGUACAGUGAUGGAAAGAUGAAAAGAACUUUGAAAAGAGGGUUAAAAGACUUGAAAUCGUUGAGUCGGAAGUGGUUGGAGGGUAGUCACUUGCCGCCGAUCAUCUGGAGAGCUGGCUUUACCGGUCACCUGGGGGGCUGCCAACUUGGCGAACCUCGGGAACGAUAACGGACGGCUUCCGGUCUUUCGGUGUGCAAAAGACAGAGCGGACUUCGCGGGCGGGAGUAAAGGUUUGCCUUGUACGGCAGGCUCAUCAAAACCGCGCACGAGGCCGAGGGAAAUGUCCAUCCAGUAUGGAGGCUCUGUCAGACCCCACGACGUCUCCAACCGGCCCGUCUUGAAACACGG